CGCAUUUGAAACCCUGCUCUAGGAGGAGGAGGUGGAUGUGGAGUAGGAGGUUGAGGAGGCGGUGACCGUGGUGGCGAUGACGCAUUCGGAUCUCUGCCCUAUCAAUUUUCUAUGUUACUUUCUGCGCCUACCAUGGUGACCACGGGUAACAGAGAAUCAGGGUUCCAUUCCGGAGAGGGAGCCUGAGAAACGGCUACCACAUCCAAGGAAGGCAGCAGGCGUGCAAAUUACCCACUCCCGACGUGGAGAAGUAGUGACG
Pelobates cultripes (western spadefoot toad) is the source of this 259-nucleotide non-coding RNA. NCBI's taxonomy places the organism in Eukaryota, Metazoa, Chordata, Amphibia, Anura, Pelobatidae. The record is from the annotation of a GenBank genome assembly.